This 66-nucleotide transfer RNA is filed under the name Ancylostoma caninum (dog hookworm). RNAcentral's name for it is "tRNA-Gly". The record is from RNAcentral. Lineage: Eukaryota; Metazoa; Nematoda; Chromadorea; Rhabditida; Ancylostomatidae.
CAUCGGCCGGGAAUCGAACCCGGGCCGCCCGCGUGGCAGGCAAGCAUUCUACUACUGAAUCACCGA